Molecule: long non-coding RNA, 5307 nt
Filed under: Olea europaea (common olive)
Lineage: Eukaryota; Viridiplantae; Streptophyta; Magnoliopsida; Lamiales; Oleaceae
Description: long non-coding RNA (OEUR_LNC011501)
Source: RNAcentral
CUCUGCUCAAUUUCUUCUUUUGUUUCGGACCCAAGUGGCUUUGACCCCCAGAAGUAAGGAUGAGAUAGAAAUCCACCCACGAUUUUCACAUCCCCAGGUAAAGGUUCUGCCCCAGCUCGGAGAAGAAUAUUAUGAACUAUAUUGCCUCCAGCACUGUCACCACCUAUAUAGAUCUUACUGAAAUCACCGUGCUCAGUUAGCCAUGGUUCCUUUUCGAUGCCAGGGUUUUCAGUAAGGUGAGAAGCUACCCAUUGAAGAGCAGUCCAGGAAUCUUCAUAGGCUAUAGGCAAAGGGUUUUCAGGGGCGAGCCUGUAUUCAACAGAAACGACUAAAGCUUUUGCUGUAGCGGCUAAUAUGUUAAUGUAACGGUUCUCGAGGAAAGUGAAGGCGGAUCCGAGACAAAAUCCACCGCCAUGGUAAUAAACCAAAACUGGGAGCUUUUGGUUUGGUUCUUUGAGUUUUGGGAGGUAUAGUCUGGCUUGAACAACUGGCGAAAUGUUUAAGUCUUUAGAAACUACGCCGUUGACAGCAUCGUCCGGCGACGGAGGAACAUGGGGUGAAUCGAUGAGCCUCUCGACUGUACCAUCUUUGUAUAGUUUGAUAAUCGGAGAGAGGUCGGUGAGAACCUCUUUGGCGGUGUCCGAAGCCAUGGCAGUGUGGUUGAUAGAAAGAGAACCAGUAGAUAGUGUUAGAUUUGAAGAUUUUACACAACAUUUGUAAAAGUCAAUUGUAUAUGCCAAAAGAUUCCGUGUCAAACUUGACUAGAUCGAUUGAAUUGUUUUUGUUUUUCCAUAUUUAAAAAUUCUUAUUCCAGAUCCUACGUAAUUGUGAAGAAAAAUCGUAGGGGCCCAUAAAGAUUGCAUUUUAAACGAUAACUUUCGAGGGUUUAAUUUAAUUGGUUUGCUUCAUGAAUGAUAUCGAUGUGUUGAACUGAAUUAUUUUGCUGCUAUAUGAUCGUCGAUUAAAUAUAUAGUUUAGUAGGUUUUUCAACAUGCAAAAUAACUUAAUUAGCAGCAGAUUUAUGCUCGGUGUAUAGUUAUAAUCUAAGAUAUUGAUUCAUUAUUAGGGUUGUCAAUUUAGAGAUUUAAAAAAAAAAAAAAAAAAAAAAAAAAAAAAAAAAAAAACAAAAAGGGGGGGUUUNNNNNNNNNNNNNNNNNNNNNNNNNNNNNNNNNNNNNNNNNNNNNNNNNNNNNNNNNNNNNNNNNNNNNNNNNNNNNNNNNNNNNNNNNNNNNNNNNNNNNNNNNNNNNNNNNNNNNNNNNNNNNNNNNNNNNNNNNNNNNNNNNNNNNNNNNNNNNNNNNNNNNNNNNNNNNNNNNNNNNNNNNNNNNNNNNNNNNNNNNNNNNNNNNNNNNNNNNNNNNNNNNNNNNNAGAAAUAAAAAAAAAAAAAAAAAAAAAAAAAAAAAAAAAAAACACCAAAAUGGGGGGUUUUGAAAUUACAAACGGUAAAGAAAUUCAAGCUUGGUGAAAGUUGGAUUUUGGAGUUUCUUUCUUGUAUUCUUUGAAUCUGGUAUGCACUGAACUUUUUUCUUGCGUUUAUUAACAUUAUUCUUCGGCUAAAUUUGUAGUUGAGACGAACUAUGUAGCGUUAAAACAAAUUCAUUAUUUUGAUUAUUGAAGACAUGUUUUAUUUAUAGAUGUGUAUCGUUUUUAUCAUUAUGCUUGAUUCAAUUAAUUUUCUUGGCAAUUAUUAAUUGAUUUGUGAAUUGUAACAAGUAUAGAUGUGAGUUAUUGGAUUAGAUAAAAUAUUAAAAAAUAGUAAUUUAGCUAAGAGAUAGAGAUAUAUUCUUAGAGUUAUUGCGAUAGUUUCAAGAAAUUUUUGGUGGAUAAGCACCUUUAAUUAGGUUAAAUUUCACAUGGAGAUAUAGUGAGUUGACUUAAUUAAUAUGAUGAAUCAAUGGGGAGGAUUAAAGUGAAAUCUUGAGUCCUACCAUUUUUCUCAUCAAAUUAACUCUUAAAAUGAGAUUGUCCACUACACAACACUUUAAAUGAUUUCUUAGUUUAGAAAUAGUAUGAUCACUCAAGUGUAAUUUUAUGUUUGUCAAAUAUAAGCUAGUUUAUUAAAAUCAAUAAUUAAGUAUAAUAGUUUGCGUGGAAUGUUAAGACAAAUUCAAGUUCACUUUAUUACUUGUUUACUGUUGUUGUACAUCAGGUUUUUGGCAUCGUUGUGAACUACUUUUAUUUGAUAUUGAUUUUUAGUGAAUUCUUCCUUUCGUUUGAAUUUUUUUAUAUCUUAAUUCCGUAAGGUUGAUAAAAAUUCAAUUGAACAUAUGAAAUAAUUGCUAUGGUUUUAGUGUUAUGAUUAAAAAAGGACAAGUCCCAUAUUAUAAACUAAUAUUUAAUUCAUCACUUUGUAUUAUCUGAAUCUAAAAAAUCAGUCAAGAUAUAAUAAAUCAGUCAUAUAUAUCUUUAUAGCAAUUGAUUUUAUUUUAUUUAUUUAUUUUUGUUAGCAUAAAAUUUAAUUAGAAUUUGCAAAACAAAAAAUGAAAGAAGAAAGGUAUGUAUAAAUCUAAGGAUGAGAAGAAGAGAGAAAAGAGUAUCAUUAAUGUAGAAUUCCAAUAUAUGAAGUCUACAUGUCAACUCAUAAAAGAUAGUGUAAUAAAGUAUCAAUGCUCAUUGGUAAUGGUUCACCCACAAUUAAACAUUAAACGGAAGAAAAAAAAUGUUUGGAGCCAAUAAAGAUUAAGAAGAUUGACGCAGGAAAAUUAUGAGCACCAUUUAGAAUUUGGACCUAACCAUUGAGUACAAAAUAACCUGUGAAUGCAAAAGAUUUUAUAAAAAUAAAUAAAUAAAUUUUAAUGAUUCACUUGUCUGGAUGACGAAAUGAGCCGAAGAUCAAUUUAUCUAUUGAGAGAAGUAAAGAACAAACCCUACAAAUGAAAUAGAGAUCGACAGAUUAAAUAUUCAUUGACAGUUUUUUUCUCGCGGUCCUUUUAUUUUUUUAUUUUUGAAUUGCUAAACUUAAAUAAAGGACAAAACAAUAUGAUUUUUUCUUAUGACGUUCUAAAGAUAUUAUUUUUUACAAAAAUGAUAGUCAUUUCAAUUAAAUAUUUUUAAUCGAACGGAUUCUGUAUAUGAUGCGUUCAUUAGGGAGAAAUCUUUCGUUGAAUAGGGAGAUUGAAUGCACUUGCAAACUAAGAAGGCAGAGAGAACGAAAGGAAAAAUAAAUUUGUUUCAACAAGCGCUCACCUUUUUUGGCUUUUCUAAAAUCGAAUAUUUUGAAGUUGUUAAAGACCCGUCCUUUGUUUCAGAUAGAAUGAGUCCCUGGGACAUUGACUUCCUUCGACAGUGAACUGGCGAUAAUCAAGUGAUUGUAGUUGGUGUGGGAACUCUGUCGAACUCUAAAUUCUUGACUCCACAAAUUGCUCAAGGACAAUAUAGCGUUGUCUAUUCAACACUUCUGUGACCAAAUUUCCAACUAAGACACGUGUCAUUAAUAUUUUGUCAAUAGACUCGAGUUUCAUGGGAGGGCAUAUGAAAAUCCAAACACCCAUGGAUGAUGUUUUAGACAAUGGCUUUUCCCUCAUAAAUAACGAGAUGAGCAAGAAAGUAUUACUACUUGGGAUGGCUUUGUUAUAAAUUUUGUUGUAUAAAAUAUUUCUCUCCAGCCAAAGUUACUACGUAUCAGCAACUUGAUAAGGAGAAGACAUGGGACAUGUUCAAGGAUUUGCUCGAAAGUGUCUUGGUCACGAAUUUUUGAAUGAUCAACAAGUCCAGUAUUUAGACGAUGUAUCAUUUUCAGCAGGUUGGACAAUAGUGGAUUUAGAAGCCAGCAGUUCAUUUGGAACUAUAACUGUGAAUGAAGAAUUGGAAUUAUUUGAAAGAAUUGCUGCUACACAAGUCACGUAGCAAUCUGACUUAGUAGUGACACAGAAAGUUGAUGGAUUCAUGAGAUAGACACUGAUUUGGCCCUUGCUGCACAAGUAAGUACCUGCCUUGUCAAGCCCGAAGGGUAUCACUGCAGUUCCCCCAUCAUAAAAAAAAAAAAAGGAAAAAAAAAAAAGAAAAGGAGUUUACUUCAUGAUUUAAUGGCAUCUUGGGUUCAAAUAGGGUAACCCUUGCUUAAAAAAUUGAACCCAACUUGAACUAGAGAUUGUCCAUUUUUAUUUUUAUUUUGAAUUAAAAGCACCAUCAAAGUCUCAUUGUGUUUUUAUGCCUAUGAAUGGUGGAGGAUUAAAAUACGAUUUUUUGUAGAUUUUGAUCAAAAUUGUUAAAAUGUGUGAUUUAGAAAUUGUAAAUCAAAUAAAAUAUAUAGUUAAAAUUAAUUUUUGACUUUGACUUAGAAUAUGAGCUAUAUACAUAAUCUCUAGUCAAAGCAAUAAAAAUGGAAACACUAGGAGAUACUAACUUCUGUAUAAACAUAAACAAUGAAACAAAAAUGCUUAGAAACCUCUAAACAUGAGAAGUCCGUGUCCAUCAAUCUGUACCAGGAUGAUAAGUCUAGAGGACCAUACAUGUGAUUGCAAUGUCGAUCCCAUUUCAUGUCAUAGUCAUUGUCGUUAACAAAAUAUGUGUGAUUUAUGCCGAAGGAUGAAAUAUUUCAUCCGACAAUUUUUUUCCACAAGAAGAUUGAAAUCAGAACAAAAACUGAAGAAAGAAGAACAUGAGAAAUAUAAUCUCAGAGGGAAAUAAAAGAAGCCAGACGCUUGAUCAGAUCCUUUGCUUUCUCUGUUUCAGGAUUCAAGACAUGAAAGCAAUGAUCUUCUCCUUCAACCUCCACCAUCUCCACCUCCCCAUUCCAACCACUUUUCUUUACAGUCUCAACAUAAAGAAUUCCUCUUGACGUCAAUGGAUCCUUCUCUGCUAAACAAACCAACAGCCUUGAACACCCCAGCCCCGAUAAACUCGGUGCAUCUUCAACAAAUGGAUUGAUCAUAGCAUUGUCAAUCCCACCAGGAACUGAUGGAUAAACAAAUAACCAAAUCUUAUAUAGUAGACUCUGCUCAAUUUCUUCUUUUAUUUCGGACCCAAGUGGCUUUGACCCCCAGAAGUAAGGAUGAGAUAGAAAUCCACCCACGAUUUUCACAUCCCCAGGUAAAGGUUCUGCCCCAGCUCGGAGAAGAAUAUUAUGAACUAUAUUGCCUCCAGCACUGUCACCACCUAUAUAGAUCUUACUGAAAUUACCGUGCUCAGUUAGCCAUGGUUCCUUUUCGAUGCCAGGGUUUUCAGUAAGGUGAGAAGCUACCCAUUGAAGAGCAGUCCAGGAAUCUUCAUAGGCUAUUGGCAAAGGGUUUUCAGGGGCGAGCCUGUACUCAACAGAAACGAUUAAAGCGUUUGCUUCAGCCGCUAAUAUGUUAAUGUAACGUUG